GAUGAACGCUGGCGGCGUGCUUAACACAUGCAAGUCGAACGAGAAAUGGAGACGGAAACCUUCGGGCGGAAGGCUUCAUUUCGAGUGGCGGACGGGUGAGUAACGCGUGGGUAACCUGCCUCAUACAGGGGGAUAACAGUUGGAAACGACUGUUAAUACCGCAUAAGACCACAGCACCGCAUGGUGCGGGGGUAAAAACUCCGGUGGUAUGAGAUGGACCCGCGUUCGAUUAGCCAGUUGGCGGGGUAACGGCCCACCAAAGCGACGAUCGAUAGCCGAUCUGAGAGGAUGACCGGCCACAUUGGGACUGAGACACGGCCCAAACUCCUACGGGAGGCAGCAGUGGGGAAUAUUGCACAAUGGGGGAAACCCUGAUGCAGCGACGCCGCGUGAGUGAUGAAGUACUUCGGUAUGUAAAGCUCUAUCAGCAGGGAAGAAAAUGACGGUACCUGAGUAAGAAGCCCCGGCUAACUACGUG
Molecule: ribosomal RNA, 478 nt
Filed under: uncultured bacterium
Lineage: Bacteria
Description: partial 16S ribosomal RNA
Rfam family: Bacterial small subunit ribosomal RNA
Source: RNAcentral